AAUAAGUACAAGUGAAGGCUUAACUGAUUGGGAGACUUAUAUUUCUAUAAGGUCUUCAAGGUGUACGCGCAGCUACGGAAAUUUCAACAAGAGAAUCACCAUUAUCCCCUGUUCUCUUACUGAUAUCGUACUCUAGAGGCAAAGGAAAGCAAGAAGAAUAGCAAUGGUGUUGACGAUGGAGAAUCGCAACUUCUUUGUGGUGGAUAUCGACGGUCCAUGUGCAGCAUUCAGCCCAGUUGAUACGAGCAGGGGUCAAAAUGCAGAACGAAUGACAUGGGGAUUUGUUUAAUUUUAUCGAGUUCUGUACUGAACUUCCACCCCAUUUCACAUAGUUUUGAAAGUGUGUGUGUGUGUGUGUGCCCGCGUGUGUAAAUAGGAUUGAAAGUAUGGUUGUAUAUAUGUAGUAAUAGAAUUGUAAACAUUGUAGUAAUUAUGUGUAACUAGAAUUGUAAACCUGCGGCAUGGCGCGGGCUUUUUAGUUGUUGUGUACUACAAGACAGAAGAUCAAAUGGCAGAAGUUCUGACAAAGGCACUGUCAAAGGACAAGUUCACAUACUGCAUAGGAAUGAUUGGUGUGAAAUCAGCUACAAGCUUGGAAGGAAGUGUUAGGAUUUAAGCUUUGAAGCUGAUUACACUUUGUUCAAUUUCUGUAUUUUGUGUUCUUGUUCUUAUUUUGUAAUGAAGUGCUGAAACUAGAACUAGCUAUAGGCUAGAUUAGUACCAUCUGUUAUAAACUUAUAGCAGAUGAGAUUGUUAAGUUGUACAUGUCGUCAAUAGAGCUAGUGGGAUUGCAACAGUUACUUCCCCUCUCU
This is a long non-coding RNA of Pyrus x bretschneideri (Chinese white pear), 812 nucleotides long. RefSeq lists it as uncharacterized. Lineage: Eukaryota; Viridiplantae; Streptophyta; Magnoliopsida; Rosales; Rosaceae. The transcript is spliced from 3 exons. The record is from RefSeq and is a predicted model, not a curated record.